This 253-nucleotide ribosomal RNA is filed under the name uncultured bacterium. RNAcentral's name for it is "partial 16S ribosomal RNA". It matches the Rfam family "Bacterial small subunit ribosomal RNA", at positions 524 to 776 of the family's 1533-position model. The record is from RNAcentral.
UACGGAGGGUGCAAGCGUUAUCCGGAUUCACUGGGUUUAAAGGGUGCGUAGGUGGAAUGGUAAGUCAGUGGUGAAAUCUCCAAGCUUAACUUGGAAACUGCCGUUGAUACUAUCAUUCUUGAAUAUCGUGGAGGUAAGCGGAAUAUGUCAUGUAGCGGUGAAAUGCUUAGAUAUGACAUAGAACACCGAUUGCGAAGGCAGCUUGCUACACGAUCAUUGACACUGAGGCACGAAAGCGUGGGUAGCAAACAGG